RNAcentral lists this transfer RNA (79 nucleotides) under Streptomyces tanashiensis. RNAcentral's name for it is "tRNA-Arg(ccg)". The record is from RNAcentral. Lineage: Bacteria; Bacillati; Actinomycetota; Actinomycetes; Kitasatosporales; Streptomycetaceae.
GCUGCCCUUGGCGUGCGGCUGGCGCUCCGGGAUCCGUUCCCGGUUGAACUGCGCCAUCUGUUCGAUCAGGUAGGCGUCC